Molecule: ribosomal RNA, 253 nt
Filed under: uncultured bacterium
Lineage: Bacteria
Description: partial 16S ribosomal RNA
Rfam family: Bacterial small subunit ribosomal RNA
Source: RNAcentral
UACGAAGGGGGCUAGCGUUGCUCGGAAUCACUGGGCGUAAAGCGCACGUAGGCGGCUUUUUAAGUCAGGGGUGAAAUCCUGGAGCUCAACUCCAGAACUGCCUUUGAUACUGGGAAGCUUGAGUCCGGAAGAGGUGAGAGGAACUCCGAGUGUAGAGGUGAAAUUCGUAGAUAUUCGGAAGAACACCAGUGGCGAAGGCGGCUCACUGGUCCGGUACUGACGCUGAGGUGCGAAAGCGUGGGGAGCAAACAGG